This 20823-nucleotide long non-coding RNA is filed under the name Marmota monax (woodchuck). Lineage: Eukaryota; Metazoa; Chordata; Mammalia; Rodentia; Sciuridae. The record is from RNAcentral.
AAAACAUUAGAAAAAUCACAUCUUGAGAGCAGGAAGCUCGAGAGUGAUUCUGGGAUCAGGUCCACUCUUUGCUUUUAUAAACUUUUAUUGGCACAUUAUAAUCAUACAUUAUAGUGGGACUCAUGAGAAAGAAACCAUAGUGGGGUUCAUACAGUGGGAUCGACUCCUUCCUGGGUGCUUCCCUCUCCUCCCUCCCGCCCCAUCUGCUGCUCUGCUCUGCUGAUCUCCCCUGUACUAGCACCACUGGCUCCACUGGCUCCUCACACUCACACACAAGCAGGCUCAUGGCGGCUCAUGCACACGCGGUUCCUCUACAUUUCCCAGGCCGCCCGCCUCCCUCCCCUGCUCAGUUGGUCUCCCUUCUAUUUUCAGGCAAUCCCCCUUUUAAAAAUUCCCUUUCCCCCUUUUUCUAACUUCUGCCUAUGAGAGAACCUCGGACCCUGGACUUCCUGAGUCUGGCUUAUUUCACAGAGCAUCAUGGUCUCCAGGUCCAUCCAUUUCCCAGCAAAUGUCAUGAUUCCAGUCCUCUGUAGGGCCACUGGGCACAUGCACCACGGCCACCACAGCAUCUGUGUCCGUUGAUCUGCUUAGAGCACCUAGGUGGUUCCAUAGCUGGGCUGUUAUGAAUUGCACUGCUAUAAACAUGGAUGGGGCUGCAUCACUCUAGGAGGCUUUGGACAAAUAGUAGGAGUAGGGCAGCUGGGGCAUGUGGUAGUCCUCACACCUAGGCUUUGGAGGAAUCUCCGCACUGCUUUUCAGAGCACUUGCCCUGAUCUGCAGUCCCACCAGCAGUGGAGGAGUGCACAUUCUCCCGCAUUCUCUGUCACUCUUUACUAUUGCAUCCUUGACAGCUGCCAUUCCGACUGGGGUGACAUGGGAUCUCAGUGCAGUUUUGAUCUGCAUCUCCCCGAUUGUCAGAGCAGGGGACGGGGGCGGGGGGAGCCUUAUUUCUGUUAAUUGCUGCAGGAGCUCAGGGGUCCCAGGAGAGCUGUCUUAUCCCUAGGCUAAACUUCUUUCUUCUUCUCUCUCUCUCUCUCUCUCUCUCUCUCUCUCUCUCUCUCUCUCUCUCUCCAUCCUUCCUUCUUUCCUUUCUUUCUUUUCUUCUUUUCAUGCCAGAGAUUGAACCCAGGAGUGCUUAAGCACCAAGCCACAUCCUCAGCCCUUUUUAGUUUAUUUUGAGGUAGGCUCUCUCUAAGUUGCUAAGGGCCUCACUAAGUUGCUGAGGCUGGCUUUGAACAUGUGGUCCUUCUGUCUAAGCCUCCCAAAUCACUGGGAUUAUAGGCAUGUACCACUGUGCCCAUCCCAGGCUAAACUUUAAAUUAACUGUCUCAAUUUUUUAAUAUGUAUGCCCUUGAAAUAAAGUCAAAAUACACCAGGCAGAGACAUACAGAACUGCCCAGGACAAUGAAGAAUCCACAGUUACACUGGGAGGCUUCAGCACAACUGUGUCAGUACUGAGACCUCACAGCAGAGAAGCAGACAGGAAGUCUUCACAGGCCUUCAGCCAACACGAAGCACACAGCCUUGUCAGGUCAGAGCAAGACCCCCCCAGGACAGGCCACAUUCUAAGCCAUAAACCACACCCCAGCAAAUGUGCAACACCAGUGAAAUCCCAAGUGUGCUCAAAGAAUAUGGGAGAUAAAGCAGAACCCAGACCAGAAGCAGCUAGAAAGUGUCCAGGCAAUGGAAGGGGAAACUGGGCUCUAAACAGACAUGGGUGGAAGAGGGAACUCAAGGGAAAAGUCUACCAUUUCUAGGGAAAUGAAAUGUAAAAGGGCAUCUUAUGAAAUCUGCAGAAAACAGCACAGGUGGUUCUUCAAGGGUGUGUAAGUCAUCCUAAGCACAUUUCAGAAAAGAAGAGGUAAAAGCAAUUAUUGAACCUUCCACUUCAGGAAACCAGAGAAAUAAGAGCAAGGUAAACCUAAAUUAAACACAGGAAAGUAAUUAAUAGAGAAAGUGCUGAUGAAAUUGCAAUCAUGAAACUCGCAGCAGUCUGCAAAAUCAAGUUCUUCAUGAACAUCAGCAUCACUGAUAAAUUGAUAUGAGGCUAAGAAAACAGAGGACAGGGGUUGGGAUUGUAGCUCAGAGGUAGAGCACUUGCCUAGCACAUGUGAGGCACUGGGUUCUAUCCUCAACACCAUAUUAAAUAAAUACAUCAAUUUGUUAUUUGGAAUAAAUAAAUAUAAUAAAGGUAUAAAUAAUACAAUAAUAUUGAAGAAAAAAGAAAACAGAACAGAGAAACUACUAAUUACAAUUAAAAGUGCAAUUGCUAUGAAUCCACGUGCGAUUCAAGACUAUCAGGAACAUCAGUUUGACACAAAUUAGAUAAAUUAGAGGAGCUGGACCAAUUCUUUGAGAGAGACAAUCUCCUACAACUUACACACAAGGAGAAGUGUGCAAAACAGAUGAGCCCAUGCCUGUGGAAAAAAUAGAAUCAGCAAUUAAUUACUAUACAAAAAAAGGAAAGACAGGGGCUGGGGCCGGGGCCCAGUGGCAGCGCUCUUGCCUCGCCUGUGUGAGACCCUGGGUUUGAUCCUCAGCACCACAUAAAAAUAAAUAAACAAAAUAAAGAUAUUGUGUCUAUGUAUAACUAAAAAAAAAUAUUUUAAAAAAGGAAAGACAAGGCUCCAACAUCUCAUACAGGCUCCCAUAAAAUACUUAGGAGUUGCCACCAAUUUUCAGAAGAGUAAACACCUCCCUAUUCAUUCUGAGGCAUAGGUUACCAUAUUAUCAAAAUUAAAUAGAAAAAUAAGAAAACUAUGAAUUACUCUUAUGAUCAUGAUCAUAAAUGCAAAAUUCCUGCACAAACAUUACAUAAUUGAGUCAAAAAAUAAAUAAAAAGAAUUGUACACCAUGACCAAGAGGGAAUUAUUACAGCUAUGUAAGACUGAUUCAAAAUGUAAAAACCAUUUAAAUUUAUCCAUCACAACAAAAACCCAAAUAAUAAAUGAAAUGCUUACAUCAAUAGUUAAAGAAAGAGUCAAGAAUAAAAAAAAAAAAAGGCUGGGGGGAGCUGGGGCUGGGGCUCAGUGGUGCAGCACUUGCCUGCAUGUGUGAGACACUGGGUUCCAUUCUCAGCACCACAUAUAAAUAAUAAAAUAAAUGUCUACCAACAAUUAAAAAGAUAUUUUUAAAAAAGAAUGAUAAAAAAAGCACUCGAGCUUAGAAAAACCCAAAUGUCUUUAUGGAGAUGCAGCAUUGUCCUCUACUGUAUGUGGAAUGCACCAGAGAAUCAUGAAAAUCAACAAGAUGACAUCGGGGUUGUAGAACAUAAGGCUAAUAAAUAGCACUAUUGUUAUACUGAUGACAGCAGCAAGCUGGGCCCGGAGGCCAUGCCUGUGAUUACUGCCACUCAGGGGGCUGAGGCAGGAGGAUCACAACUUUGAGGCCAGCCUGGGCAAUUUAGCAAGACUCUGUCUCAAAAUAAAAACAUAAAAAGGACUGGGGAUGUAGCUUGAUGGUAGAGCAUCAGUGAAUUCCAAAGAAGUACAAAAAACAAAAAAACAAAAUACCACACACCACUUAUAUAGCACCAAGAAAAUUAAAAAAGAAAUACUCAUAUAUAAACCUGACAAGAAUUUGUACGACAAAAACUGCAAACUUCUAAUGAGAGUGUCAAAGAUAAGGUGAAUAUAUGGAGAUGUUUUCUGUUCAUACAUAGGAAGCCUCAGUAUUAUCAAUUGUUACAAAUUUCAAUUGUGGAUUCAAUAAAAUCCCAACUCUUUUAAGUUAUGUUUUCAGUAAUGAAAGACCCAGAAGAACCAACACAGUCAUGAACACUAAAUUCGCAGGACCUUAAAAAACCUGGGGUUAAGAACUACUAAAAAGCUACAAUCCUUGGACAGAAUGGUUUUUGCACAAUAUAAAUACAGUCGACUGAUCUUCAACAAAGGAAAAUUGAUGGAAAGACUCUUGGAAAACAUUGCCAAAGCACCUGGACAUUAACAUGCAAAGAAAGGAAUUACACUGACUUUACAAAAGUCACAAAGUCAGCUGCCAGUGGAGCAUCAGUCAAAAAGUAGGCUCUAGCACAACACCCACCUAGAACAUAGAAGAACCUGGUUAACUUCCCAGAACCAAAAAAAAAAAAAAAUGCCUAUACAUUCUAAAGCCAAAUACAAAAUUUAGAACUUCACAAAAAUAACACAGAAGUACUUACAAAUCUGAGUUCAGCAUGAUGGCUUCAUAUGCAACAUCAAAAACAUGAUCUGUGAGUGAAACACUGGUAAAUGGAACUUUAUUGAAAUGAAGUUUCUGUUUUUCAAAAAAUACGCUUAAGAGGAUGAGAAGACAAGCUGGAGAACUGGACAAAAUGUUUUCAAAGCACAUAAUGACACUGGACUGAUAUUCGAAAUACAUGAAAAACACUCAAUAAGAAAGCAAGCAAGAAGAUCUGGAAAGAUACUCAUCCAAUAAAUACAGACAGUAAAUACGUGUGUGAGAAGAUGUUCACCAGCACAUCAUUAGGAAAUUGCAAAUUAAACAAUGAGGUACCACCAUGUACCCACUGGAGGGGCCACAUGCCAAACACUGACAGCACCGAAAGAUGGUGAAAGCGUGAAUCAGAAGAACUCUGUUCUUGCUAAUGCAAGAAAAGCUCCUUUGGAAGACAGUCUGUCAUGCUCGUACAAAGUACGCACCACACACUCUACUAUUAAGUCAUCACACUCCCAGGUGUCUACCCAAAAGAGAUGAAAAUUAUGUGCACAGAAAACCUCACAGCAGUGACUACAGCAGCCAUAUCUAGAAGUACCCAAAGCUAGAAGGAAGACGGGAGGAGGAUGAACAGGGGGAGCCACAGGAUCCCAGGGCAGUGAAACUCUUCUGUAUGACAUUAUGCAGAAUACGUGACACACACAAUCACACUACACAGAGGAGGACCCUAAGGUAAAGUGUGGACUUCAGCUGAUGAUAACAUGUUGCUUCGUCCACUCUUUUCAUCAAAUGUAGGAUACUGGUUCAGUAACUAACAAACAUACUACACCAAUGCAAGAUGUUGAAAACUGAGGACACUAGAAGCUGGAGAGAAGGGGUGUUGGAUACUAUGUGUAAUGGUUCAUUUGAAUUAUCACCUUGAUUGAAUUAAGAGAUGCUGAUGAUUAAGAGGCUUCUGGGUGUGUCCACCAGGCUGUGUCUAGGAAUGAUUGGCAUGUGGGAUAGGGAACUGAAGUGGAGACCUUCCCUAAGCAUGGGCAGCACCGUCCAAUAGGAUGGUAGGUUGGAUAGAAUAAAAGUUGGAAGAGUAAGAAGGUAGCAGCAGAUGCAAGCUGGAUUCUUCUCAAAUAUUCCUGAUUGCUGCUCUGCUCACUUGAGGAUAUUAGACUCUCCCUUCUUCAUGCUUCCAAAGUGGACUCUGCCAGUGAUUCUCCAGAAGCCUUGGGUUUCAGACUAGGUAGCACCAUGAUCCCUCUUGCUCUGAGGCUUCAGCCUCUUGGACUGUGCAGUUACUGGUUCUCCAGCUCUUCAGCCUGCAGAUGGCCGUUAUGGACUAUCCAAUUUCUGGUGGAGUAAGCCAAUCUAGUAAAUCCCCUUUUUGGAAUCAUACUUCCUGUUGAUUCUGUUCCUCUAGAGAACCCUGACUAAUACACAAUAUAAGACUAGAAAAGAAAAAAAAGGAAAAAAUCACUCUGAAAAUGAAGCCUUGAAUAAACGCUGUGCCAUGGAGUUUUCGCAGACAUAUACAAUAUCACACACUGAGUACCUUUUCCAGAAUAAUACAAGACUAAAGUAAAAAGGAAGAGUCAUAGAUACAAAUUUCAAAACUAUGGAGGAAAGCAAGGAAACUAAUUUUCAAUACUGUUUCCAUUUAGAGAGAAAUAGGAUGAUUUAUCUUUAAAAGUCAUUCCAACUGCUGGUGUGGUAGUGUGAACCUGUAAUUUCACAAUGAGGGAGAUCGAGACAGGAAGAUGGCAAGUUUGAGGCCAGUCUUGGAAACUUAGCAAGACCCUCAGAAAUUUAGUGAAACUUGGUCUUAAUCAAAAAUAAAAAUGGGGGGACUGGGGCUGUCUCUCAGUAGCAGAGCACUUGCCUACCAUGCAUGAGGCAACUUCAAUCCUUAGAACCACAUAAAAUUAAACAAAAUAAAGGUAUUCUGUCCAUCUACAACUACAAAAAGGUUAUAAAUAAAUAAAAAGGGUUGGGGAUGUGCUCAGUGGUCAAGUGCCUCCGGGUUUAAUCCCCAGUCAAACACCCACCCACCUCCAAAAUCCUUUCGCAAAGUUGAAAGGAAUUUCUGGAGGAUAACAUGAGCAAGUUUCAGAUGAGCAAGUCCCUGGCUUCAAUCCUUCACAAUAAAUAAGUAAAUCAAUAAAAAACAGUCUAUAAAACUAAUUUUAUUGGGUUGGGUAGUAGCUCCGUAGUACUGCACUUGCAAGCAUGCAUGAGGCCCUGCAUUCAAUCCCCAGCAGUUCACACAUACACAAAAAUAAUUAAACUAAAUACAUCUAAUGGGUGAUAAAAAUGAUUAUAAUAGAAAAGGUACACAGUGAGAGGUAUAAAAUACAAUGAAAUCAAUGGAAAGACAAAACACUUUCUUACAAAUGAGACUGAACAUCCCAUGAUCUACACUCUCUGAAAACACACCAAGCAUUUUAGUAAAUUCUGUAAAAUUCAGGGCCAGUUUUGCUGUGCAUGUUGGUGAACUUAAGAAAAACUACUUCUAAAAGUGGAAAUAGUAGGCCAUAUCUAAGACUAGCCAAAAUAUCAUAGAGAACACAGCGAGUGUAGACAAAGUAUUUAUAUAACUCCCAAGUUUCUUAAGCUAAAAGGCCGGAUCUCAACAGGGGCCCUAGGAGGAGGCAUUUGGGAGGAAACAGGAAUUAGAUGAGAUUGUGGGAGUGCUCAUGAAGGGGACCAGCACUCUUAUUUAGAAACAGGUGUCAUUUACUAUUUUAAAUCAUUUACUGAUUAAAUGAUCACAGGUAUUGCCCAGAUUGUCCUUAAAAUUCAUCAUGAAGCUAGGGGUGGUGGCACAUACCUGUAACCCCAGUGGCUCAGGGGUCUGAGUCCUAAAUAUCUUAGCAAGACCCUUUAUAUAUAUAAAUUUAUUUUUUGGUUUUUUAAGUUGGACAUAAUAUCUUUAUUUAUUUAUUUUUAUGUGGUGCUGAGGAUCGAAUCCAGGGCCUCACAUGUGCUAGGCAAGUGCUCUACCCCUGAGCCACAACCCUAGCCCCUAGCAAGACCCUUUCUCAAAACAAAAUAUUUAAAAGGGGCUGGGGAUGUGGCUCAGUGGUUAAGCACCUCUGAGUUCCAUUCCUGAUACCAAAACACCACACAGUUAACAUGAACCUGCCAAGUCCAGACAACAACAGUGAGCUCUCAUCCCCUGUCACAUUCUCCACCUUGUAAACUGAUGUUUCCGUGGAUCCUCAUUGAUAAAUUUAUCCACCACUUUUCUUGUAAACAUGGAUUCAUGUUCCACAGCAAUAAUGCAAGAUGGAGUUUUUCUGUUUCUUAAGUGGAUUCUGGAGUCUAGGACCUGAAUUUCAAUUUGAAAGCACUGAAAAGACAAGACCGAAUCUCAGAAACUUUCUGACAUACUCAGGGGUAGCAAAAGGUGAAUUAGGAUUUUGUUUGUCUGUUUUAUGUUUUUUGGUACCAGGAUUGAACCCAGAGGCACUUUACCCUGAGCCACAUCUCCAAUACUUUUUAUAUUUUAUUUUGAGACAGAGUCUCACCAAGUUGCAUAAGGCCUCAUAAGUUGCUAAGGUCGUUCUCAAAUUUGCAAUCCUCCUGCCUCAGCCUCCAGACAGCAAGGAUUACAGGUGUGCACCACUGCACCUGUCUAUAAAUUAGGAUUUUUGACAAAUGGAAAUAUAACUAGAUUUUUAAUCCACUUUUCCUUGCCUCUUUAAUAAUUUCAUCAUAUUUGACUCUGAAUAAAUAAACCUGAGCCUCAAAUAAGUGAGCAGAUCAUUUCAGUGAUAAACAGAAAGGGCUGGUGCUGAGGGAGCACCGACAUGUCAGACUCAAGGGGCAGGUAAGGUCCCUACCAGCUGGACAUCUCCCACCUGGUCCUUCUCACUGAAACACUCCAUGAUCACCCUCCCAGGAGACCUGGACCAUGACUCCAGUCUACGAGGCUUUCAGGUUUGCACAGCACUGCACUGGGGUGGGUGGUCCUUAUGCUCUGGGAGAGUUUUCCUCCUUCACAACUGUGAGAGACUGCAAGGGCAGGAAUCACUGCUGACCUGGCCCCUCAGCACCAGCAUCCACAGGCUCACUGUCCACCUGUCUCCAAGGGAUGGGAACAGGGCUUGGGGGAGACGAUGUCCCAAGGAGGUAGCUCUCUAGAUGAGGCCUGUUCCAGAAGAUUCCUCAGCCCCAGGGCCUCCAGUUGCUCCCCUGAGAGGCUGCAACCUACACCUUGGGCUGUCCUCUAGGAGAAGCUGAUCCAGGGCCUGAAAUUCCCUGCACCAUGCAGGGCACAAGGCAUGUGUGGGCACUUGUGGCAGCCCCAGGAAAGGAUAAUGACUGGGGACAAGGGUCCCUAGGAGGUGUCCAAAGGAAACCUCUGCCCAAGAAAUUCUGAUACAGUGUCUGUAUUUGGAAUCUGUGUAAAUGGUCAGAGACUUCCCCUUAGCUAGGGUUGGUGCUUGGUUAGAGCUCUGAGUUCUGCCUGUGGGUUGGGGUGUUAGGAGGUGAGGGGCUAGCCUCCAUCAGCUCUAUGGCCAUGGUGACAGUGCAGCCUGCUAUUCAGAGGCCUUCAUAGGAAAAGGAGCUCCCAUCCCGAACCAGGUGUAGGAGGGUCCUUCCAGAAUAUGGGAGGGAUGGGGAGUAAUUGUUCUUUAGUCUCUAUGCAGGAAUGGAGAGGCUGAUGAGAAUCCAUGUCCCUGGGAGGAGGAGGCAGAGUAGAGGGAUUGAGGGGUGGACACAUUUUGAAGGUCACAGUGGGGUCCACAUCCUUUCCCUCAGUCCAUGAGACCUGGAGGGAAAGGAUAUGGAAGUGGCAGUGUCUAAAGACCCGCAUAGGAGAGUGAUUCAGUUCAGUGGUGGGGAGAGGACUGUCAGAGGUGACCCAGAUGUCAGUUUCCUUGACUCCUGGAUUAGGAUGGCUGAGGAGACCAGUACCUGAAGGCAAGGUGCCCAUCCCCAUACUGCUAGGCAAGGCAUCUUGAGAGAAAUGCCACUGCUACAAAGGAUGGUCCCAACUGGUGGCCUCGUGCCUUCAGGGCAGAUCCUUGGUUUUCUGUUACUUAUAGAAAAAGGUGUGGGAUGGUUCAGGCAAGUGAAGGGCUGGGGCCCGCAGGAGGGCUCUGGAGGGCCUGAAAGGGGGUGUUGACGGGUGUGAUGAGGGGCUCUUUGUGGGGGCCUUUGUGGUAUGGUAAAGGGGUCGGGCCAGCAGAGCAUGGUUGGGCAUCCAAGCCCUAAGGAAUCCUGUUAAUCUCAGAAAUGAGAGUACUUCAGCCUUGGUAGUGGGAGCAGAAGGGGAGAAAUGAGGUUUUCUGCUCCCUCGUAAUGGCCUUGUGGGAUGGGGUCAGUUGGAAGCCCAUGACGGUGGGAAGUGAGAGCUGGACCUUAGAGAGUGGGUCCUAAGUGUGAUGUGGACGGGAUCUUGGCGUGUGGCUACAGAGGGGUUGUGUAUGUCCCAUACCCGAGGAUUGAUCAAGGAUGGGGGUAAGGGUGUUAAUGAGGGAGUAGUUGUAGGUGAUAGGAGGAGGAGGAGUGGGAGUGGCGACAAGUCCGGGAAAGAGCCCUGCAUAGGAAGAUAAAGGAAAUGGAUGAACCUAAUUUACUUAAAAGGCCUCAACCUAGUAAGGGAGUAGGGCAUUAGGGGAUGAUGAGGAAAGAGUGGGACAAAGGGAUCUCGUGAAUGGAGCAUGUGAGAAGUGGGUCUUUAAUGGUUGGUACGGUUUGCCUUCUACCCUGACAAUGGAGGUCGUGGAGGUAGAGGUGGGUCCCCCAAAUUGGACAAGUACCAAAAAUGAAGCCCUGGUGUCCAGAAGAAAAAAAGAUGGGCCUAUCUGCUACCACAAUGAUUACCCUGGGUUCCCGUGUUUUGCUGGUGGUCAUCGGGUGUCAGGACCCCAGGCCUCAUCAGUCAUCUGUAACUAGGCCCGGAAGGUCUGCCUGCAGUGUGGUGGAAUCAUAUGACCUCCUGACUCUCUGGGCAAGAGGGAAAUUGACAGCCCAGUGAUCCUCCUUGUGGCUUUUGGGACAAGGACAGGAGGUUUGUGAGGAUUAGGGCAGGCACUGGCCCAAUGGCCCAAUUGACCACAUUCAUAGCAUGAACCAGUAGGUUUUCCAGUGGUCGAUUGUUGAAAUGCUUUGACUAUGAUUUGGUACUUGACCUUGCGGGCCCUUCAUCUCCACCAUUGUACACCUUGAAGGCUACUUCAAGUCCCUGGGCCUGCGGGGUGAGGGGACUUGCUCUAGCUUCUCAAGUUCAGCUUUAAGGUCAGGGAAACUUUGGGAGAAGAAGUGGGUCACAAGUAGGUCUGGCUGUCAGGUGACUCAGGGUCUCAAUUGGUGUAAUGGAGCAGGUGGGUCACAAGUAGGUCUGGUGUCAGGUGACUCAGGAUCUCGAUUGGUGUAUUGGGGCAGGGCCUGAGUCAGGCGGUUUAGAAAGGAAGAGGGGUUGGGCUGGGCUGUAUCUCCGUGGCAGAGUGCUUGCCUCACACGUGUGAGGCACUGGGUUAGAUCUUCAGCACACAUAAAAGUACACAAAUAAAAUAAAAGCAUGCUAUCCAUCUACAACUGCAAAUUUUUUUUAAAGGAAAAUGAGUUUUCAUUUUUAUCCGGAAUGACCUCUUGGAGUUUAUCAUAAUUGACGGCUUUAUGAGCUGUCCUUUUUAGACCUGCCAGUAAGCAGGUGGUGAACUGGUCUCUUCUUGUUCAGCCCCCAGAGGAAUUAUAGACCCAGGUGGGGUCUUGGUCAGGGACUGCUUCAGUGCCGAUGGGGUGGGCAGGGUAGUUUGGUGGACUUCAUUGGCGUAAUUGUGGGCUUGUUCUCAGACCCAUCUCUGCUCCUCUGGGAGGAGGGUGUAGGAUAAGAUCAUGUGCCUGUCAUGAAAGGUAAGGUCAUAGGCUUGUGUUGUGUUUGUAGUUCUUUGGUACAUGUGGCAGAGGUGAAGGUAAAGGACCCCAGGCACUGUUCAAUUUGAGAGAGAUCACUGAGAAGGGCACAGAACUCUAACAACCCCCUAGACCCAGCGACCUCACAGAGAGGGAGUAAAGGGGCAGGUUCCUGGGCAGCUGUGUGAGGUUGAGUGAUGGGGACUGGGGGUGGGUGGGAUGGUAAUGUAGAGGGAACAGGUGGUUUUGGUGAGGCUUGCUAAGGUGGGGUCUCAUCAUUGGGGUUGAAUGAGGGUUCGGGGUCCUUUGUGUAGGAGUAGGGUCUUUCGAGAAAUCUGGAGCCUUGGUGGUAAGUAAAAGCUGAGCGGGGAGCAAGAAGAGCAAAGGGAAGGCUUAGAGUAAAGAGAAGAGAAAGCCUGCCACUAGGGGCUCUCCUCCACUUACCCAAGUGUCACAACAGUGUAAAGACUCUGUAAAAUGUUGGGAUCAAAGGUGCCAUUAGGUGGCCAUUUAGAUCCACUUAGAUCAUGAAAGGGCUGUGACUGGGUGGAAAGUUGAACAGCUGAUAAGCCCUUAGAUUUGGAGCCAAACAAAUCAGAACUAAGUGGGUGAGAAGGCAGCUGAGAGGUAAUAUGGAAUUUUGGAUUGAGGGUCCCCAUGGCGAGUUUUUAGUGUGGAGUGGCUAGGGCUAGGCAUGCCCAGCUCUAGACCAAACCAGAAUAAAGAGGGGACAGCAGUGAAGGGGGACCAUCAUCACACGAUUCACUGCCCCAUGCUAAAGCCUUUCUGGGACUGAGAGAAGGGUGUCAUCGCCCACCACUUCACUAGUCCCAGGCAAAAAGCUUCAAGAGUGCCUGGACCUAGGGCUUUUGUGGCUCUCCCGGGGAGCAACCUACAGAGAACCAAGACCCUAGCUGGAACUCGACUCCCAGAGCAGACUCACCAGGAUUCAGGGAAGGUAAAGGCAGGGUCACUCACCCAAAUACCCCUGGUGUGUGGAUGUAGGCGGGCACUCCAUGGAUGGAAGGGGGUGUGUGGUGAUUGUCCUGGGCCCUGAAGCAGCUCAGAUCCCCAGAGGAGAGAGCAAGAUCAACAGGAGGGCCUGGAUCCCAGGCACAGCCCCAUUGAAUGGCAACUGGUGCAAGACUGAUCACACAAGCACAUCAGAGGCAAAGGCAAAGGCUGACAGGCCGUCUUCCACAGAGAGGUCAGAGCAGCUUCCUCUCAAGAGUUCCUUUAAUAGGCAAGGUCAUGGUGGUGGGCGGGAGGAGUUCCUUUAGUGGCAGGGUUAGUCUUUGUGGUUGGUACAGUAAGCAUCACCUGAAUUUGUGGAAAGCAAAUUACUAUUUCUCAAGAACAGAAAUGGGAAAGUUUCUAUUUCUCAAGAACAGAAAUGGUAGUUAUUUCUUAAUAGGAACAUUAGUUAUAAAUGAGGUUGGGUGAAAGUAAGAUGGCUGUAGCUAUGCCAAUAAUCACUCAGAGAGGCUGAGGCAGGAGAGACCCAAGGUUCAGGUCAGCAUCUGCUAACAGUGAGACCCUGUCUUAAAAAUAAUCAUAAAAAGGGUUGGUGACCUAGCUCAGAGGUAUAACCCCACUGGUUUUAAUCCCCAGUACCUCAGAGAAAGAGAAAGAUUAGAGAUAUAGAUAUCUUGAGAUAUAGAGAUAUAGACAUACAGAUAUAUGGUAUAUGGUAUCAGCUGGGGUGACCUCAGGCAACUUAGCAAGUCUCAACAUUGUUGAAACAAGUUUAAGAUAUCAGAUAUAUCACACAUAUGAUAUCUAUAAAUGAAAACAAUUUGACAAUUAUUUUAAUAAUUCUCAUCACCCCCUGGCCUCUGCUCUUUAUACUGAUCUAUGAAAGGAAGCAAUUGGUGUUGGUGCCUUGGCUCAGUGUCCCAUCCCCAGCAGAAGGCGGGUGGGGGGAAGGAGGCAAUCCUCUAGGACAGCAAGGUGCAGUGGAAAUAAAUUGGGUGCCUGUGCUUCAUAUUGAUGUUCCACAUUCUACUAUUAGGGAGUCCUAGGCAGUGGCCUGACUCUGGCGAUCCCACAGGUCAGGUCAGCUGUUUACCCCAAAACCAAACAGAAAAGGUCAUGAUGAAAAGCAGGAAAGGAACUUUGACCAGUACAGCUGCUCCAGGAAGACAAGGGAACCCUGUCCUUAGCCCUGUCUUCAGGGGCUGACAAGGACUUUGAGGUUUUAUAGAAAGAGUGAUCAUAGGCAGGUAUGUAUGGGAAGCACUCUAGGUAGGGUUUGCUGUUAUCUGUGGCUUCAGGCAUCCGUGGAUCCAUGGAUCCCAUAACAUGUCUGUGAGCUCAUGCUCAUUUGUCUCCUUGACACCCAUCACUCCAUUGCACAGUCUGACCUCACUUGGUCCCUCAGGAGAGUCCCCCUCUCAUGUGUUCUUCCCAUGUCAGUCGUUCAGAGACACCUACAUUAAAAAAAAAAAAAACCCACAAACCCACCUGCUCCUGCCUGGAAAGCAACAUACCCCCAGAUGCUAACCCAGUGUUCUCAGCUUCCUGGGUUUCAACUGAUAGUCAAACCAGAAAGAAACAAAAACCCUGCUCAGCUCUGCCCAUAGAGCCUGCAUAUAAACCCCAAACAUUUAUCACUCAGGGCCAAUAUGGCCUGUGGUGCCGUCCAUUAUCCCCCUCUUGGAAAGUAAAAGAAAAAUAAAUAAAUAAAUUGCUUUUAAUGUAGAUUUUGUGAAGUCUUUCACAUCCUACAACUGGCCCAAAUUCAUUUUACCUAACAGUAUCACCAUGGACAAGGUGGGCUAAUGUAUAAAGAGCCAUAUUCUCACACAUGUGAAAAAGUAGCUGCACUACAUCAAUGUUCAUAGCAGCACAAUUCACAGUAGCUAGACUGUGGAACCAACCGAGAUGCCCUUCAAUAAAUGAAUGGAUAAAAAAAUGUGUCAUUUAUACACAAUGGAAUAUUACUCAGCACUAAAAAAUAACAAAACCAUGUCAUUUGCAGGGAAAUGGAUGGCAUUAGAGCAGAUUAUGCUAAGUGAAGCUAGCCAAUCCCUAAAAAACAAAUGCAGACUGUCUUCUUUGAUAUAAGGGGGGGCGACUUAAAACAGAGCAGGGAGGAAGAGCAUGAGAAGAAGAUUACCAUUAAAUAGGGUCGAGAGGUGCGUGGGAAUGGGAGUGAGAAGGGGAAUUGCACGGAAGAUGGUAGGAGACCCUCAUUGUUAUGCAAAAUUACAUAUAAGAUGGUGUGAGGGGGAAGAAAAAAGAGAGAAACGAGUCACUGCAGAUGGAAAGUGACAAGAAGUGAAUGCACAAUAGCACCAACAGCCCGUGCAUGUGGCAGAUCCAAAGUGAAAGCAAAAAUAAACAAAAUGUGGAAAAACCUCCAUGCACCAGCAAUGUCUUAUAUUAAGCUGCAGAGUUAAGCAUCAGAGGGCACAUUUUCAGGAGAGAAAAUGGCAACUAGUUACAAUAGAGGUGUGAUUUUUUUUGUGGGAGGGGGAUACCAGGGAUUGAACCCAGGAGCACUCAACCACUGAGCCACAUCCCCAGCCCUUUUUUAUAUUUUAUUUAGAGAGUGGGUCUCACUGAGUUGCUUAGCACCUCACUAUUACUGAGGCUGGCUUUGAACUUGCUAUUCUCCUGCCUCAGCUUCUUGAGCAGCUGGGAUUAUAGGCAUGUGCCACUGUGCCCGGCAGCAUAUUUCUUUAAGUGACCCAAUGUAAAACCCAAGUGAUGAUCUGGAAGAUGGUACACCACCCCCAUAGUACUCAGCCAAUGAGGAGCAUGGGGGAGGGUUAGGGGACCUUGUGUACAAGAGGGUAAAAUGCUGAUCAUAACUGCUCUGGGUGUGCCUGCUCCCCCAGACGUUCCAUCUUGCAAGCCUGUCAGUAAAAGCUACGCUUUCUCUGUACCUUUGUCUCUCAGUAUGUUAGGGGACAGGUAGAUGACAAUUGUGGGAACACAAGGUUUAGAGAAUAGUUUUAUAAAAUGGGCCCACUGUGCUGACCCCAACAUGCUUUCUUUGCCAAAAAGCAAUUUAUCUGCAAACCUUGCCUGGCCUUAAGUGGACAGGAUAUGUAACAUUCCUCAGCAAACUACCUGUUAGCUUCAGGAGAAAUGCAGGCAAAAACAACCUAAGAGGAACCCAGAUUACUUUGGAGGGAGAGACUUUUGUGACUCUUUUCACAAAAGACCAGAUUUUGGAAGAUAAGGAUAAUUCUUUGGUUAAGAAUCCAGUUAUGACUACUUAGAAUGGGCCAAGGUGACAUAGAGUUGCCAUGACAGUGGAGACUUGAAAGUCUGAUGACACCCUGCAGUCAGUCAAAAGUCAAGAGGUGAACCUGGGCAGGACUCUCUGGAAACUUUUCCGGAACCCCAGUAAAGUUGGAAUGCAGGAGAGGCAACUGUCCCUCUCUUUUCUCAGAGGACUCUCUACCUUGAAAGUAUCCCCUUCCUCCUUUUCUAUCCCUUCAACUAGCUCAUGUCUAUUACUGGGUGACAUGUCUGAACUCUUUCUUGCAUGGGCUCUCUCUUGUCCAACGAGGAGGUCCACGGAACAGGGUAGAGGAGAAUGUGGCUGUAGAGUAGUGAUUCAAGACCCCUGGAGACCAAGCAGGAAGCAGGUCUGAUUUUAAUGCAUAUUUGCCAUGUACAUAGACUCGAGCUACUAUAGCUCAGCAGAUUAUAGGCAGCCACCAACACAAUUCUUUGCCAACUGUCCUUGCGGCAACCAAUCAAGGAGGGGGGGCAGGGAGCAAGCACUGUCCUACGUGUAUAGUCCUACGCCCAGGGCUAUGCUUACCGGGUGAGUGGCCUGCUGCUCCUGUGCCUAGCAUGAAGGGAGCGGGCUGCCACUCAGGUGCCCUUAACGUAUGCCACUAUGCAGUACUCUGUGGACUUGUCCCCCACUUUCUGACUUGAUUGCAAGAAUCCGGGUUUGAAGGGGUUCUUAAGACUGCCUGAGUUUCUUGGAAGUUCCUAUGUCUAUAACAAGUCCAUUCUUUGGGUUUGGACAAGUGAGCAUAUUUCUCACACAUGGUAACUCAUCACUAGGACAGUACAUAAAAAACUGAAAAAAAAAUCAUUGAAGAAAUUCUAUGUUAGCAAAUAAUGAAAAAACAAAAACAAAUAGAGCAGUAGCCUGGUAUGUUGGUACAAACCAUGGCAGGAGGAUCAAAAAUUCUAGGCCAGGCUCAGAAACUUUAUCUCACCCUCUCUCAAUAUAAAACUUUAAAAGGAGCAGUGGAUGUCGUUCAGUGUUAAGAGCUCAAUUCCCAGUAAAAUACAAACACACACAGUGGAGAGCAAUAGGAAAACAAAAAAGACAUGGGGAAAUAGAAGGAUGUAAAAGGGCAGACCUAAACUUCACUACAUCAUCAGUGACAUUAAAUGUGAAUGAAUGAACGACCCUGUCCCAAGUAGAGGUCAUCAGACAGUGAAAACGAGGCCCACUUCUGUGCUAUCAUCUACAGGGGUCACUGUUGGGAGCAAAUGUAUAAGGAGACUGAGAACAAAAGGGUGUGAACCAUCCACCAUGCAGACAGGCAGAGGAGUGAGCUGUACUAUAGCACCUCUCCUAACAUCAGGCAAGAUAGUUCAAAACUAAAAAUGUACUGAUAGAUAACCAGCUGUGAGGCUUAGAAAGGUGAGGUUAAGGAGUUACCAAAAACUCCAUCCUCGUCCCCAAUGUCAAUCCAGUAAUGAGGACAUGAAAGGUCAUGAUUGGGGCAAGUUGUUUUUCCUUUUGUUGUGGAAACCCUCAAGAACACGGAACUAUCUAACUGCAAUCUUCUCUUUCUGUAACUGGGGUAACUGGGCUCAUUUUGAUUGGCUAAGCCUCUGGCCACCUGGCUGCAAUCUCCUGCUUCUGUAACUUGCCUUGCUUGCAUUGGCUAACCCCCCUAACGUCCCUUUGUGGGUUUUUGGCUUAAAUAUGACGCCAAACUGAAGGGGGCAUGCCACUCUGACUAACUCGCUUUUAGAGAGUAGAGUGUCUGCCGAUGGCCAGCAAUAAAGGUUUAAUUAGAAUGGCAAUGUGUGGUCUGAGAGUUAUUUGAGGGUCUCGGUAUCAGUAUAACAAUCCUUUACCAUUGAGCUACCUCCUCAGCUACCUCCCCCUUUUUUUGACAUGGGUUAUUAGAAAUAGCGGGGUACCACAAGGAAUUAAACAUGUGCUUAGAAGUAUCUGGACAAGGCAAAAUUUACUUCUGCUGAAGGGUGUGCUUCCAAAGAAAAUCCAGCCAGCAAGUGUGCCUGGGUGGGCAGUCCAUCUGCUUUUAUUCCUAACACAGUGCUCCUCCUUGCCCUGAUAAGAACUUGGGAUCACAAUCUACAUGACUGGUUAAUUUUAAAAUUGGGGUGGCAAAAGGGAAGGGCUAUAGUUAAAAUGGCUACAAGUGGAUCUUACAUCCCAAUUAAGGCAAAAUACUACAUUUUGAAAAUGCACCACCAAACUUUCUAAUCCUCACAGGGUCUUGACAAAUUUCUAAAGCUUGACUGUAAUUUUCAAUGCUUCUGCAUCAGCCUCCCAAAUUGUUGAGAAUACAGGAAUGCACAACUGUGCCUAGCUAAAAAUGAGUUUGUAUGAUAUUACCUGUAGUACUUUUCAUUUAUGAUACUGUUGUGAUAGUAGGAGCAAAUAUGACUCCAUUUUGUUUUAUGACUUCAUCCUGUAAAACAACCAUGCCAAGUAGAAGAGUCAUGACUGGGGCAAGAUGUUCUUUUCCUUUUGCUAUAGAAACCUCUAAGAACACGGAACUACCUAACGGGGUAUUGUUUCUGUAACUAGGGUAAUGGGGCUCUGUUUCUGUAACUGGGGUGACUGGGCUAACUGUGAUUGGUUAGGCUUCCCUCCGCUUGACUGCACUGUCCCGCUUCUGUAACCUGGCUUGCUUGCAUUGGUUAGACCCCCUGAACAUCCCUUUUGCAGUUUUCAGGCUUAUAAGGAGUGCCCUUGCAAUUGUUCGGGGCUGAUCAGGGGAACAGCUUUAUGUUCUGGUCAGCCGCCACCGGUGUGCUUCAAUAAAGGCUUGAUUUGAUUAUACGUGAGUGGUCUGGAAGUCAGUUUACGAAACCCUGGGACGAAGCUUUAACUAUAACACUGUAUCUGCACAAACUACCUUGGUUUUAUUUUUCUAGUCAACAAAGUCCUUUAAUGACUUCUUGAAAUGUCCCUCAAAACUAUUAAAUGAUUCUUGUGCUAUAUCUGAUGUCCAAAGUCUAGUUUGUUUCAAUUAAAUGUAAAACCUUAUUCACUAGAAAAAUAAUUAUUUCUUUUGGCAGUAAAUGUAGAUCUAAAAUGUCAUUGUACCUUUUUUCCCCUUCAGGAUUUAUAUAAUUUUAAAUGUCUUUAUAUUUUCUGCAUUAAGUUACUAAAGGGCUAAGGAAAGUAUUAAAGAUUGUCCCUGUUCAUGUGCCUGUGGCGACCUUGAUGGAACCAUCUACUAAAGGCUGCCUUCUCAGUGGGUUGGGCUCACUGGCUGACUUUAGAGCACUGAGUCAUUCACCUAUCUCAAGGUUGUCACUUCCUAGCUUCAGGGGUCUGGCCAGUCUUGGGGGGAUCAGUAUGUCCCUCGGGCUGUUGUUAGAACAGAGAUGCCUUUGCUGUAACUGGUAUUAAGGAGCCCCACUGGGAAUCAGACUUUGGAGUUUUACCCACUGCAAAGGUUAAUUUGAACUGUCAACUUGAUUAGAUUAAGAGAUGCCAGGGAUUAAGAGCAUUAUUGGUAUGUCAAGAGGGUGUGUCUAGGAACGAUUGCAUGUGGGAUAGCCAACUGAAAUGGGUAGCAUCGUACAGUGGGCUGGAGGCUUGGAUGGAAUAAAAGUUGGAAGAACAAGGACGCAGCCGCAGAUGCAAGCUCAACUCUUGAACAGGUUCUUGAUUGCUGCUGUCUGAGGAUAUUGGACUCUCGCUCUUCCAAAGCAGAUUUUGUCAGUGGUUCUUCAGAAGCCUUUGGUCUCAGACCAGGGCAGCACCUCGUCCCUCUUGUGCUGGGGCUUCAGCCUCUUGGACUGCACACCUACUGGUUCUUCCACCUGCAGAUGACCAUCGUGGACUAUCCAGCUUCUGGUCGAGAAAGCCAACCUAAUAAGUCCCCCUUUUAUAAUUAUACUUCCUGUUGAAUCUGUCCCUCUAGAGAACCCUAACAAACCCAUAGAGAGGAUGCUCUGCCCAGGACUGCCUAAUGUGGACCUAAAAGCUACUCCCCAGCUAUAUGACUGAUUUUUUUUUUUUUUUUUUGUACCAGGGAUUGAACCCAGGGGCACUUAACCACUGAGCCACAUCCCCCAAUCUUUUAUGGAGAUGGGAUUUCACUAAGUUGCUUAGGAACUAAGUCGUUGAGGCUGGCUUUGAACUAAUGAUCCUCCUGCCUCAGUCUCCUGAGUUUCAAGGAUUAUAGGUGUGCACCUCCAAGCACAGCUCCUUGAAAGAUUUUUAAGGUUUUCUAGAUGUCUCUUCUUUCAAUAACUAGGCUUAAAAAGUAAGUAUAGGACUUAAAUAACUGGUUCAAAGCAAAGUUCUUCAACCCCCAGGCUGCAAAGACCCCCAGUGUAUUGUUUUCCAGUUCCAAAGACAGAAGUUGGAGGGCUGGACCCGAGGGUUUGGACUGUUAAUGAGACAGGGAUUUAGGGUGUAUAGAGAGAUAUUGAGUCUUGAAGGAAACACCCAUGAGCCACUGAGACAAAGAAAGCACAGUGGGAAACGUCGAAGGACAUGCACUGGCCCAUACCCUUGUAAAACAAGGAAAUGCACUGGCAUGGACUUGUACAGCUCCACCUGCCUCUGCCUCUUGUCCAGCCCCAAGCACCAGCCCCCUAUACAUAUGAACACCUGUACCAAUAGGUUGGUGUCUCUCCCUCUGCAGAGCCUGCCCUCUCCCUCGGGGGGAAGGUUCCUUGCUUUACCCAAAGACAUCUCUCCUUUGAGACUGAGGCUGUUCUUCCUUGAAGAGCACUUGCUUUCUUAAAGACACCUCCAUUUACACCUUGGACUGGUGUGUGCUUAAAUUCUUUUCCAUCCUGGGGUCCUGAGUCACCCGCCCCAUCUCUCUGGGAGCUCCUCAAACAUUUUCUGAAGACAUCUCUUCUCCCAACAUAACUCUGGCUCGCUUUAUGAAUAAAGUCCUUGCUGCUCUGCCACCAUGACUUACUCAGGAAAACAGGAUUACCUUUCCUCCCCAUUCUAGACACACCCACCACAGGGGAACAAGUAAUUCAGACUUGGGGAGGCACCAGAUGAUCUCAGAAAGGACUCUCAUAUUAACAAGUGAAUUGCAACUCUAGACAGAACACCUGGAAUUUAGCUUCUGAAUCACCUCUUUAAUAGGCCCCUGCUCCCCUUCUGAUGGGCAGAAUCACAGCCUCUGUGCUGCUCCUUUGCUAUUAGAGCAAUAAAAUUUUUUUCGUUUUCUCAAAGCCGUGUCCCAGUUAUUGGAUUGGCACGGGGACAAGGAUUGCGCUUUUGGUAACACCACCACAUUGAUUUAGGUACUUCUGGGGCGGCAGGCCAGGACAAAACAGAGGGCUACACAGCAUCCACAGGAAGGGGAACCCCCAGGAUGGGCUGCAUGUCCAUGGACAGGUGGGUUUCUGCAGAUGUUGAGAAUAUUCCUUCAUUUUACAACCAAGUUGCUCUGUGAUGACGAUCCCCUAAAGCCUGAAGAUAAGGCUAAGUGGCCGGCUCCCGCCACUUUCUUCUCACAUUCCUUGGAGUCAUCACACCUUCCUGGCAAUGAUAGAGUUUGCCCCCCAAAUGUAAACUGUACGUCAGAACACACCUAUUUUGUACAAAUGAACAUAACUGGCAUGGAAAUUUCUGGGGGAAAGUUGUUG